AUUGAACGCUGGCGGCAUGCCUUACACAUGCAAGUCGAACGGCAGCACGGGUGCUUGCACCUGGUGGCGAGUGGCGAACGGGUGAGUAAUACAUCGGAACAUGUCCUGUAGUGGGGGAUAGCCCGGCGAAAGCCGGAUUAAUACCGCAUACGAUCUACGGAUGAAAGCGGGGGACCUUCGGGCCUCGCGCUAUCGGGUUGGCCGAUGGCUGAUUAGCUAGUUGGUGGGGUAAAGGCCUACCAAGGCGACGAUCAGUAGCUGGUCUGAGAGGACGACCAGCCACACUGGGAGUGAGACACGGCCCAGACUCCUACGGGAGGCAGCAGUGGGGAAUUUUGGACAAUGGGCGAAAGCCUGAUCCAGCAAUGCCGCGUGUGUGAAGAAGGCCUUCGGGUUGUAAAGCACUUUUGUCCGGAAAGAAAUCCUUGGCCCUAAUACGGUCGGGGGAUGACGGUACCGGAAGAAUAAGCACCGGCUAACUACGUG
This 486-nucleotide ribosomal RNA is filed under the name uncultured bacterium. RNAcentral describes it as "partial 16S ribosomal RNA". It matches the Rfam family "Bacterial small subunit ribosomal RNA", at positions 30 to 507 of the family's 1533-position model. The record is from RNAcentral.